GGUCAUUCUUAUAACAAUGAUAAUUGAAAAAAUUUCCAAAAGGAAAGAGGAAAAAUGGAACCAAUAAUACAAACAUAGUUGGAAUUACAGAACAAGAAUGUGAAGUAAAAAAAGGGGAAAAUACAGAGGUUCUGACAUAAGAAAGGAGGCAAGUUUGAGGAGGCGAUGAGGGUUAUUCCGUGGAAUGAAUCGGGUGAACAAAUAUAUGGUAAAAUUGUCUGGGGAAUUUUUUUUUGCUAUACCUCCAUUGUUGAAUAGGCAAUUCUUAGCCCCCCUUCAUCGAAUGAUGAUUCGAUAAAUCAAAAUAAUAAGAAUGGAAUAACCAUUC
RNAcentral lists this long non-coding RNA (328 nucleotides) under Gossypium barbadense (sea-island cotton). Its description in RNAcentral is "long non-coding RNA (GBAR_LNC018940)". The record is from RNAcentral. Lineage: Eukaryota; Viridiplantae; Streptophyta; Magnoliopsida; Malvales; Malvaceae.